UCUGAAAUGGUCACCAUCUCUGUUUUAACCACAGGCGGCUAGUGUUCAGGAAGACACAGAACAUCAUGAAUUCACAAGUCAUAACAAGGUUGAUUAGAGUGGAUGGCAACUGCAGUCCAACAAUAUGUAGAAGGCCAUGUCUGGUAUGGUGCACCUUUGAGAAACACUUUCAACAGAAGAAAUCUUGCAUCUGUGAACAAGGCUCUAGACAAGUUAGAAAACGGAAAGUAACAAAUUAACAGCAGAAGACAAAACAGCAGUGACCUACAAAAGAGACAUCAAGCAAGAAAGGAAACAAAGGACAUGCAAAGAGAGAAAAAGCACACAGAAAAGGACA
Molecule: long non-coding RNA, 337 nt
Organism: Anolis sagrei ordinatus
Lineage: Eukaryota; Metazoa; Chordata; Lepidosauria; Squamata; Anolidae
Source: RefSeq, a predicted model, not a curated record